UCCGGCCAUCAGCGGUCUAAAGCGCUGCAUUAGGUUAGCACCCUGGAGGCGUGGGUUCGAAUCCCACUUCUGGACA
Merluccius polli (Benguela hake) is the source of this 76-nucleotide non-coding RNA. NCBI's taxonomy places the organism in Eukaryota, Metazoa, Chordata, Actinopteri, Gadiformes, Merlucciidae. The record is from the annotation of a GenBank genome assembly.